This 364-nucleotide unclassified non-coding RNA is filed under the name uncultured Chloroflexota bacterium. RNAcentral's name for it is "uncultured Chloroflexi bacterium contains 16S-23S intergenic spacer region". The record is from RNAcentral. Lineage: Bacteria; Bacillati; Chloroflexota.
UCCGGGUUGGACCCGGCGGUCCCGCCAGACGUCGUAACUGGCGGCGGGGGUUGCGCUCGUUGCGGGACUUAACCCAACACCUCACGGCACGAGCUGACGACAGCCAUGCAGCAUCUGUGCCGGCUCCCUCGCGGGUCCUCGCCCUUUCGGGUCCGUACCACCGGCAUGUCAAGCCCAGGUAAGGUUCUUCGCGUUGCGUCGAAUUAAACCACACGCUCCGCUGCUUGUGCGGGCCCCCGUCAAUUCCUUUGAGUAUUAGCCUUGCGGCCGUACUCCCCAGGCGGCGGACUUACCGCGUUGGCUGCGGCACCGGGGGGGUCGAUACCCCCGACACCUAGUCCGCAUCGUUUACGGCGUGGACUAC